This is a long non-coding RNA of Mytilus californianus (California mussel), 684 nucleotides long. RefSeq lists it as uncharacterized. The record is from RefSeq and is a predicted model, not a curated record. Lineage: Eukaryota; Metazoa; Mollusca; Bivalvia; Mytilida; Mytilidae. The transcript is spliced from 2 exons.
UUCAAUUUAAUUUAUUUAAUUUUUUAUAUAAAACUUUUCUAAUAUUUCAUAAAUAUAUCAUAUUUUAAACCAAACUGUAUAAAUAUUCCCACCUCUGCUUGUAAAACUGAAUUAAAACAGAGUUGCUUCCCCUAUCUGUGCCAUAAACAAAUUAAACCUCGCUCAAUAAAAAAAAAUAUAGUAUAUAUCCUUAAAAUGAUAAAUUCCUAGCACAGAUCUUUGAUUGUAGUGUAUGAUAACUGACAAUAUUUUCCUAUAUGUUCAUUCAAUAGCAUUGGGAAAAAAAAUUUAUUCAAAAUAAUAUAUAUGGUAACAAUAUCUAACAAGCAAAUCACCCUUUUUUUUCUGGUUGCGAAUGCAAAAAAGUGAAAUUGCCAAAUAAUUCAACAAGAAAAAAAUAAAGGGCUGGUAAAAUGGUAGGAGUUAUCAUGAACAUUAUGAUUUAUGAAAGCAGAUGAUGUGUCUUUCAGACAUGGUUGACCUCAUUCAAUAAAAUUACUAGUAAAUGCUACUACUUUGGCUUAAAUGCAAUCUUAGCCUGCCAAGCAUACAAUGUAGGUCAUGAUGAUCUUAAUGUUAUAGAAUAGUAUUUCAUAAACUAUAAAACAUUGUAGCAAUAUGACACUGAUAUUAACUAUGAUACAUAUCUAUUGUGGACCUAAUGUGGCUUAAGAACCCCUCCCC